GUGUUGCGGCUCAGAGGUAGAGCGCUCGCCUUAGUAUGCAUCAGGUACUGGGUUCGAUCCUCAGCACCACA
Molecule: transfer RNA, 71 nt
Filed under: Marmota monax (woodchuck)
Lineage: Eukaryota; Metazoa; Chordata; Mammalia; Rodentia; Sciuridae
Description: tRNA.Undet
Source: RNAcentral